UACGGGGGGGUGCGAGCGUUGUCCGGAAUCACUGGGCGUAAAGGGCGCGUAGGUGGUUUGAUAAGGGUGUGGUGAAAGUCCGGAGCUCAACUCCGGAUCUGCCGUGCCGACUGUCAAACUCGAGGGCUGUAGAGCAGACGGAAUUCCGGGUGUAGCGGUGGAAUGCGUAGAGAUCCGGAGGAAGACCGGUGGCGAAGGCGGUCUGCUGGGGCAGUUUCUGACACUGAGGCGCGACAGCGUGGGGGAGCAAAGCAGG
Molecule: ribosomal RNA, 256 nt
Filed under: uncultured bacterium
Lineage: Bacteria
Description: partial 16S ribosomal RNA
Rfam family: Bacterial small subunit ribosomal RNA
Source: RNAcentral